GUUGUAUGGUUAAGUGACUAAGCGUACACGGUGGAUGCCUUGGCAGUCAGAGGCGAUGAAAGACGUAGUAACUUGCGAUAAGCCCAGAUUAGGUAGUAACAACCAUUUGAGUCUGGGAUUUCUGAAUGGGGAAACCCACGUGCAUAAGCACGUAUCCUUACCUGAAUACAUAGGGUAAGGAGGCGAACCGGGGGAACUGAAACAUCUAAGUACCCCGAGGAAAAGAAAUCAACCGAGAUUCCGAAAGUAGCGGCGAGCGAAAUUGGACUAGCCCUUAAGCUUUACACGCGUUAGACGAACGGUCUGGAAAGUCCGACGAUACAGGGUGAUAGUCCCGUAGUUGACGACGUGUGUUCAGUGAAAUCGAGUAGGGCGGGACACGUGAUAUCCUGUCUGAAUAUGGGGGGACCAUCCUCCAAGGCUAAAUACUACUGACUGACCGAUAGUGAACCAGUACCGUGAGGGAAAGGCGAAAAGAACCCCUGUGAGGGGAGUGAAAUAGAACCUGAAACCGUGUACGUACAAGCAGUAGGAGCAGGCUUUGUCCUGUGACUGCGUACCUUUUGUAUAAUGGGUCAGCGACUUAUAUUCAGUGGCAAGGUUAACCAUCUAGGGGAGCCGUAGGGAAACCGAGUCUUAACUGGGCGUUCAGUCUCUGGAUAUAGACCCGAAACCAGGUGAUCUAGCCAUGGGCAGGUUGAAGGUUGAGUAACAUCAACUGGAGGACCGAACCGACUAAUGUUGAAAAAUUAGCGGAUGACUUGUGGCUAGGGGUGAAAGGCCAAUCAAACCUGGAGAUAGCUGGUUCUCCCCGAAAGCUAUUUAGGUAGCGCCUCGGACGAAUACUACUGGGGGUAGAGCACUGUUAAGGCUAGGGGGUCAUCCCGACUUACCAACCCUUUGCAAACUCCGAAUACCAGUAAGUACUAUCCGGGAGACACACGGCGGGUGCUAACGUCCGUCGUGGAGAGGGAAACAACCCAGACCGCCAGCUAAGGUCCCAAAUUACUACUAAGUGGGAAACGAUGUGGGAAGGCUCAGACAGCCAGGAUGUUGGCUUAGAAGCAGCCAUCAUUUAAAGAAAGCGUAAUAGCUCACUGGUCGAGUCGGCCUGCGCGGAAGAUGUAACGGGGCUAAGUAGUAAACCGAAGCUGCGGCAAUGCACUUUUGUGCAUUGGGUAGGGGAGCGUUCUGUAAGCGGUUGAAGGUGUGUGGUAACGCAUGCUGGACGUAUCAGAAGUGCGAAUGCUGACAUGAGUAACGAUAAAGGGGGUGAAAAACCUCCUCGCCGGAAGACCAAGGGUUCCUGUCCAACGUUAAUCGGGGCAGGGUAAGUCGACCCCUAAGGCGAGGCCGAAAGGCGUAGUCGAUGGGAAACGGGUUAAUAUUCCCGUACUUCUUACAAUUGCGAUGGGGGGACGGAGAAGGCUAGGUGGGCCUGGCGACGGUUGUCCAGGUUCAAGUGCGUAGGCUUAAGAGUUAGGUAAAUCCGGCUCUUUUUAAGGCUGAGACACGACGUCGAGCACCUACGGGUGUGAAGUCAUUGAUGCCAUGCUUCCAGGAAAAGCCUCUAAGCUUCAGAUUGUAAGGAAUCGUACCCCAAACCGACACAGGUGGUCGGGUAGAGAAUACCAAGGCGCUUGAGAGAACUCGGGUGAAGGAACUAGGCAAAAUGGUACCGUAACUUCGGGAGAAGGUACGCUCUUGACGGUGAAGUCCCUCGCGGAUGGAGCUGACGAGAGUCGCAGAUACCAGGUGGCUGCAACUGUUUAUUAAAAACACAGCACUGUGCAAAAUCGUAAGAUGACGUAUACGGUGUGACGCCUGCCCGGUGCCGGAAGGUUAAUUGAUGGGGUUAGACUUCGGUCGAAGCUCUUGAUCGAAGCCCCGGUAAACGGCGGCCGUAACUAUAACGGUCCUAAGGUAGCGAAAUUCCUUGUCGGGUAAGUUCCGACCUGCACGAAUGGCGUAAUGAUGGCCACGCUGUCUCCACCCGAGACUCAGUGAAAUUGAAAUCGCUGUGAAGAUGCAGUGUACCCGCGGCUAGACGGAAAGACCCCGUGAACCUUUACUACAGCUUGGCACUGAACAUUGACCCUACAUGUGUAGGAUAGGUGGGAGGCUUUGAAGCACGUACGCCAGUAUGUGUGGAGCCGUCCUUGAAAUACCACCCUUGUAGUGUUGAUGUUCUAACGUCGACCCCUUAUCGGGGUUGCGGACAGUGCCUGGUGGGUAGUUUGACUGGGGCGGUCUCCUCCCAAAGAGUAACGGAGGAGCACGAAGGUGGGCUAAUCACGGUUGGACAUCGUGAGGUUAGUGCAAUGGCAUAAGCCCGCUUGACUGCGAGAAUGACAAUUCGAGCAGGUGCGAAAGCAGGUCAUAGUGAUCCGGUGGUUCUGAAUGGAAGGGCCAUCGCUCAACGGAUAAAAGGUACUCCGGGGAUAACAGGCUGAUACCGCCCAAGAGUUCAUAUCGACGGCGGUGUUUGGCACCUCGAUGUCGGCUCAUCACAUCCUGGGGCUGAAGUCGGUCCCAAGGGUAUGGCUGUUCGCCAUUUAAAGUGGUACGCGAGCUGGGUUUAGAACGUCGUGAGACAGUUCGGUCCCUAUCUGCCGUGGGCGUUGGAAGAUUGAAGGGGGCUGCUCCUAGUACGAGAGGACCGGAGUGGACGAACCUCUGGUGUUCGGGUUGUGUCGCCAGACGCAUUGCCCGGUAGCUAAGUUCGGAAUCGAUAACCGCUGAAAGCAUCUAAGCGGGAAGCGAGCCCUGAGAUGAGUCUUCCCUGAUACUUUAAGUAUCCUAAAGGGUUGUCGGAGACUACGACGUUGAUAGGUCAGGUGUGUAAGUGCUGUGAGGCAUUGAGCUAACUGAUACUAAUUGCCCGUGAGGCUUAACCAUACAACACCCAAGGGGUUU
This 2916-nucleotide ribosomal RNA is filed under the name Vibrio parahaemolyticus. RNAcentral's name for it is "23S ribosomal RNA". It matches the Rfam family "Bacterial large subunit ribosomal RNA". The record is from RNAcentral. Lineage: Bacteria; Pseudomonadati; Pseudomonadota; Gammaproteobacteria; Vibrionales; Vibrionaceae.